This 253-nucleotide ribosomal RNA is filed under the name uncultured bacterium. Its description in RNAcentral is "partial 16S ribosomal RNA". It matches the Rfam family "Bacterial small subunit ribosomal RNA", at positions 524 to 776 of the family's 1533-position model. The record is from RNAcentral.
UACGUAGGGGGCUAGCGUUGUCCGGAAUCAUUGGGCGUAAAGAGCGUGUAGGCGGCCCGGUAAGUCCGCUGUGAAAGUCGGGGGCUCAACCCUCGAAUGCCGGUGGAUACUGUCGGGCUAGAGUGCGGAAGAGGCGAGUGGAAUUCCUGGUGUAGCGGUGAAAUGCGCAGAUAUCGGGAGGAACACCAAUAGCGAAGGCAGCUCGCUGGGACGUCACUGACGCUGAGACGCGAAAGCGUGGGGAGCAAACAGG